AUUGAACGCUGGCGGCAUGCCUGACACAUGCAAGUCGAACGGUAACAGGCUAAGCUGACGAGUGGCGAACGGGUGAGUAAUGUAUCGGAACGGGCCCAGGCGUGGCGGAUAACUGCUCGAAAGAGCAGCUAAUACCGCAUACGACCGGAGAGGGAAAGCGGGGGAUCGCAAGACCUCGCGCGAUUGGAGCGGCAGAGAUCAGAUUGGAUAGUUGGUGAGGUAAAGGCUGACGAGGCCGACGAUAUGUAGCUGGUCUGAGAGGACGACCAGCCACACUAGGACCGCGCCACCGCCCAGACUCCUCCGGGAGGCCGCAGUGGGGAAUUUUGGGCAACGGGCGCAAUCCUGCCCCAGCCCUGCCGCGUGCGGGACAAAGACCUUCCGGUUGUAAACCGCUUUUGUCAGGGAAGAAAAGGUUCUGGCUAAUACCUGGGACUCGUGACGGUACCUGAUGAAUAAGCACCGGCUAACUACGUG
Molecule: ribosomal RNA, 477 nt
Filed under: uncultured bacterium
Lineage: Bacteria
Description: partial 16S ribosomal RNA
Rfam family: Bacterial small subunit ribosomal RNA
Source: RNAcentral